ACAGAUGGACAAGGCCAGGGGCAACAAGAGAGAGAUAAGCUGCUGAUAAUGGCCGGGAAACAGUCUUUUUGUGUGGACUUAUCUCGAGGAAAAUGGCCAUCUCAGGUGGUAUGCACAUGAGUCUUACUCAAGCACCCAGGAAUGUCAUGUAGGCAGCAGAAAAUGGAGGAUAAAAGAGGGUCCAACAACCACGGCUAUGUGGAGGCUGAUCUCUCACUGCAACACGGAGUCUGAUCUCUCAUGAUCUCUCACCAUGACACGAGCUUCCUGCCUUCAGAUCCUUCUCUACGGACCGUUUGCUGACGGACUUCCCUGGGCCUGCUACCUGAGACCUGUUGCUUCCUCCCUGACCUGCACCCUCUCGUUGCCCAAGACCGGCCUCACUGCUCCUGCCCUUCGGCCUCAGACCGUCGGAACGUCGUGCAACGGGACUACUGCCGGGUCCUGGUGGCCUUCAGGAAAAGAAAUUACAAGAAUCAAGUCUGACCACUGUUUAUCAAAACUUCUAAGUCAUAGUUUCUUUCCCAGUACCCUAUGACUCAGGUUAUAUAUAUAUAUUCUAUGCUGAAGGAUGUUAACCUUUAAUCAAUCUGUUUUUUGAACACAUACAAGAAUACCUUGCAUUAUUUUCCUUUCACUUGUUUUGAAGAACCUCUUGCCUUUCCUCUUUCACCUCUUUGAUCUAAUGUGAUUUCUAGCACAGUUCUUAAACUCAAUAACUCAGCAUUAGAUUACUUAUACUUUUUCAUCCUUUCUUUAUCCUAGGUUUGUUGUUGUUGUUGUAGUUGUUUGUUUUGUUUUUGCUAGACUCCACACAUGCACUGCAGAAUGGUUUUGGUGCACCUGCAUUUUGAAACAACAUUGUAUAUCUUUGCAAACUUUGUGGAAGUGUAUGAUUGGGAUUCUGGAGAUAAAAUCAUCAGCGAUUCUAGCUUGGGGCCAAACAUGAUUCUAAAAAACAACUCUGGCUUGAUGAUGGAUAUAUGGUACUGAUGUCCAAAAUGAAAUAAACUAUACUAUGCAUAUAAUGUGCAUAUUAGUUUAUUACCCUCUAUUAUUCAAACAUUUCUAACUAUCCUGCAAAAGGCUGGUACUGAAGUUUAUUAUGUGACAGAAAACCUACAACUGUCUUGACAGUAGAAAAAAAAGAAUGAAUCUGCCUCUAAUUAGGCAUCAGUAACAAAACUUAAGCUUAGGAGGUACGUUGUCUAAUUACUUCUAAGUAUAAAUAAGAGAGUUUUGCACAUGAACAUAUUUAAGUGUGCCUUUUAAUCAAUGAAAAUCAGAUAUAGUCCUAAGAGUGUUUGUAUCCUUAUGAGACAUAGGAGAGACACGCAUAAUAUCUGAAGAACUGUAUAAGAAUUCAAUAUUAUUUAGUGCUGUCACUGCAUCUCCCAGAGAAAACUGGGAGAUUUUGUUUUACUCUACAGUGAAGAAGUAGAGAGGAUGAAAUGUUCAAAAUGCCAUCAGAGAGAAAAGUGACACUAAGAACUAAGGGCCAGUUGUGAUGAAGAUGUUGAUACAAUCAACCGCAAUAUAUGUUUGAGAGAAAAUUAAAUGAUAAACAAAUACAGGGUUUCAGAAUGUUAGUGAAGGAAAAAAGAGCUAACUGUCAAAAAAUUCCCAAUUUUAAUUUCCAAUAAAAAUAGUUUUGAUAUGUUUCGACAUUGGUACAAUGGCACAAUGAGAAUGUCAGAAACAUUACCCAACAAAACGAGAGUUCUAUGAAUUAACUUAAUAUUCCAUGCCAUUUCAUAAGAGCUAUACCUGUAUGUAGUGCAUACAGAAUGCCAGUUUUCUUAGAAACUCACUUCUUAUUCCUUCUCAGCAAUAACUCAUGGAUUGCCAAAAGCUGCUCGUUAACUGUUGCCUUAACAGGUAGAUAGUAUCAAAAGAAAACAGCUAUUACAUAUACAUCGUCUACAUCUUCUAAAUAAUAAUUAGUAGGGUGUAUGAAUCCUUCUUUGCUUUUUGGCUCAAAGCUUGCUUUCUGAGGCAUUUCUUGCAAUAAGACUCUGACUUAGAUGAAAGGUGGGUGUUGCCGUGUGGCAAUCAACAUCACUAUGUGAACAAUUUUACAUUUGAAAUCACCUUCCUCCAGAGCUGUUUGCCUCUGGAAGAGAGUGCUCAGGAGUGGUUACUGGCGGAAGAUCUGGCCUUUGACUAAAUAGCCCCAGCUUAGUAUGGGAAAACUGGGGAAUUAUACCAUCGUUUCCUGUGAAAAACAGGAUUCACGUGAGCAUACCUGCUCCCUCUUUUCUGCUGGCAAGGUCCGGAAGAUGGGAACAAAGGAGUUUCUGCUGAGAUCCCAGAGCCAGUAGCUGCCACUCCAAGGAGAGCUGACUCAACCACUUUGGACUUAUAAAUAAGUUUGUUCUGCCAUUGGAAAUUGGAAAUUGUUGCUGUGGUCACCAUAGUUGUCAACAGAAUAACAAUGCCCAACAACCCACCAGUACUGAAGAUCAAUGACAGAGCUACGAACCACGUUGGACUCAUGGUGGUGACUCUCUCCCUUUUGCUUCCUAUAAAGAAUCCCUGCUUCUAUUUCCUAUCUUUUCUAUCACCAUUCUUCCCUUCCCCUUCUCCCUGAAUGACUAGGAUUUGUAAUAAACUGGUC
Molecule: long non-coding RNA, 2617 nt
Filed under: Gallus gallus (chicken)
Lineage: Eukaryota; Metazoa; Chordata; Aves; Galliformes; Phasianidae
Description: lncRNA (ENSGALG00010010189.1)
Source: RNAcentral